UGAACGCUGGCGGCGUGCCUAAUACAUGCACGUCGAGCGAACGGACGAGAAGCUUGCUUUUCUGAUGUUAGCGGCGGACGGGUGAGUAACACGUGGAUAACCUACCUAUAAGACUGGGAUAACUUCGGGAAACCGGAGCUAAUACCGGAUAAUAUUUUGAACCGCAUGGUUCAAAAGUGAAAGACGGUCUUGCUGUCACUUAUAGAUGGAUCCGCGCUGCAUUAGCUAGUUGGUAAGGUAACGGCUUACCAAGGCAACGAUGCAUAGCCGACCUGAGAGGGUGAUCGGCCACACUGGAACUGAGACACAGUCCAGACUCCUACGGGAGGCAGCAGUAGGGAAUCUUCCGCAAUGGGCGAAAGCCUGACGGAGCAACGCCGCGUGAGUGAUGAAGGUCUUCGGAUCGUAAAACUCUGUUAUUAGGGAAGAACAUAUGUGUAAGUAACUGUGCACAUCUUGACGGUACCUAAUCAGAAAGCCACGGCUAACUACGUG
Molecule: ribosomal RNA, 495 nt
Filed under: uncultured bacterium
Lineage: Bacteria
Description: partial 16S ribosomal RNA
Rfam family: Bacterial small subunit ribosomal RNA
Source: RNAcentral